UUGUUUUAUCUCUAUGGCCUUCAACAUAACUUUUGAGUGUUUGUCGAAUACAAAAUUUCCUCUGCAACAGUAAACUCUGGAGUUUAAUGGUCUUGGUUACACCUGCCACCGCCGUCGUCACUCCCUUCUCUCAGCCGUCACCAACGCUGGCAUCACUCCCUUCUCUCAGUCGUCACUGACGCCGCACAGCGUCCCUCAGCCCCGUCACACCCCACAGCAUCGACCCCGGAGCAAGCCUCCUCAGGUCCUUCCUCAUUUUCUUCUUCCGCUCCUCCUGUUUCUUGAAUUGUUUUUAUUAAUUAUUUGCUUUUAAAUUUUGUGACAAGAUUUUUAAUUAUUGAAUGGAAUUAAAAUAGCGUUUAAAUUAAUCUUAGAUAUGAUAAACCCACUUGGGUCCACUCAGCAGCGAGGGUUAUGGUAGUUUGGAUGAGUUCUUACGUCUUAAUUUUAGUGUGUUAUCCCGGUCACUUUUAAUUAAACCCUUGUAGUUGUUGUCCAAAUUAGGUUUUCUGGGUUCAAAUGCCUUUAGGAUAUGCAUUAACUUAUUACUAGUCACCUCAUAGUCUUUAAUAUCCCUAGGAUUUAGUCACAAGCUUUAAGAAGAAAGUUUGUGUAGUAUUGGUUAGGUCUGGUAUAUGUGAAUCUAGAAUGUGUAGUUGAUACUGUGUAUUGUGUGUGUCUAGGAGUUCUGGUUUGGAUUUAGAUAUUUUUCAAUUACUUAACACGAAGUUCUUGGGAUUUUAGUGGGUGAUUUGGGUGAAAUAAUUGGAAAGUUUUGCUAAAUUAUGUACAAGGCUGUCAGUGUUGGUGGAUUACCUUACUAGGCUCAAGUGCUUCCGAUUGAUAUUAGUCAGCAGGGUUAUUGGGAGUCACAUCACCACCAUUUAUCACUAUGGUUUCGCCAAUCUUAUGCUCUACAGGUAAUCAUUUUAUGAUGCUUUUGUGAAUGUUUUUUAUAUAAUCACAUGGAUUUGUUGAAUUGAUAGCUUCGUAAUGUUCUUGAAUAGAUUUAUUUUGGUCCCUUGUACAAUGUUGGUUGGCCUUUUGGGCCAUAUGUUCUCCUUGCCAUUUGUAACUGAAGAUUGUGAAUGUCUCUUGUUUUUUUGCUUAUGAAAAGAAAAUGGCUAUCUAUAAAUUCUAAACCAUUUAUUCAUUUGAGGAACCUUUGCUCUGUAUGCAUUACCUAUUGGUUAAAUGGCCUUUUUCUACCGUAGAUUGGUAGUGUAGUUCUUGGACUUUACCAAUCUCUUUGUUGUUUUAAAUUAAUAGAUUUUUGUAAUUUUCUAAUUGUUCCUAAGCCAUAUAAAUUGAAUAAAAUAAAUUAAUUUUUUUUUUUCUGUUUUUCACUUAAAUGAAAUUGGUAGUCUUCUACCACUUUGGACAUGGUCUGCAACAAUCAGAAUAUUACAAAGGAGAUGAAAUUGACAGACUUGAUGAACCUAUUUGUCCUGAUGAUUUUAUGAGAGAAAGAAUGAUAAGUGAAAAUAAUAUAAAUUCUACCAUUGUUCAACCACUCAAGAAAGGUGCACACUCCCAUGCUAUUAUUGAUGCUUGUCAUGGUGGAAAAACUAUUGAUCUUAUGCAUCUUUGCCAAAAAGAAAAGUUAGACAUGCAAUGCUAUCUUUCAUUUGAUUUUAUGCUUGUAUUCCAUACUCACUCUUACCACUUGAAAGGCAACUAAUUGAUGUUUUUUGCUUGCUUGCAUAGGCAUAUGGAAAUGGAAGGAUAACAAACCAACCCAUAGUAAAAAAAAAACAUUGACAAAACAAACAAGUGGUGGAAGGGCCUUAAAUGAUCUUACCACUCAUUCACUAUGUAUGAAUUCAAUAUGGUGGAAGGACCUUAAAUGAUAAUUCUUACUAUUGUUCUGACAUGUGUUAGUGGUUCUGCGGGUAAGAAGUUGGCUGAAAGCAUCAUCAAAGAGAAGCUUGCAGGGAAACACACGUGAAGUGCUCCCUGAAUUUCUUUUUGGAACUUGAUCUAUCUUAACCAUCUGGAUGCUGCUAAGUUAGUUUGUUUGAAGCUGGGAAUUUCAAUGAGUCUCGUGACAAGCACGUUUUGCUAGAGAGAACUUCCAAGUUUCAAAUUAGCUAAUGCUUGUAGUAGAUCUGAAGCUAUUCCUCCAGAGUGGGCUGAAGCUGAACAAAUUUCAUAGGCAAAUGAAAGGUCUGAAAGACUUGAGCUACAAAUGAAGGAGUGGCAGGAACAAAAUCAGAAGACACAAGAGGAGAUGCUUAACACCCUUAAGGAUUAUGAAGAAUUCUCUAAUAAUGAUGACCAAUACAUAGUUAUUCUUUAGAGCCAUGAUACUUAUAUGGUUUUUUGUAUUAUGAGUUAGUAUCGUUCUUCCGUGAUUUUUUUAUACUUAGUAGUAACAUUUCUAUGGUUUUUUUAAUGACUGAGUAGCACUUAUAUGUAUUAUAGCUUAGUAGUUCUACUGUGAAGUGUUAUGGUUAUAUGGAAACGAAAUAAAUAUUUUGUGUUGGAUUAUGUA
Molecule: long non-coding RNA, 2494 nt
Organism: Glycine soja
Lineage: Eukaryota; Viridiplantae; Streptophyta; Magnoliopsida; Fabales; Fabaceae
Exons: 3
Source: RefSeq, a predicted model, not a curated record